This is a long non-coding RNA of Malaclemys terrapin pileata, 1386 nucleotides long. RefSeq lists it as uncharacterized. NCBI's taxonomy places the organism in Eukaryota, Metazoa, Chordata, Testudines, Emydidae. The transcript is spliced from 3 exons. The record is from RefSeq and is a predicted model, not a curated record.
UUUCCCCAUCAGUUGCUGUCCUGGCCUGUCAGGGUAAGCAGCUGGCGCACCGGGACACUUUGUUUACUUAGGUUUACCUCUGUGCCUGCGGACGCUUGAGGUAAACAAACCAUCUUGGACCACCAGCGGCUUAUCCUGAUGGCCCGGGAGCCAAAGUUUGCUGACCCCCGAAUUAUAGGGUCGGCUUAUGAACAGGUUAUAAAGUUUCCAUUUUUACUUAUCCAUCCCGGGGGGGGGGGGGUGGCGGCUUAUAAAUGAACCGGCUUAUGAUCAAGCAUAUACGGUAAUUUAAGAUCUACAGUAACAAUUUGCUCACCGAGAUAUUGCAAAGUCGUACUUUUGUGCUGUUAGAUUUAAAGUUAGCAUUUAACUGCCAUACGCUAAAUCAGUUUAAAAUAUUGGUAGUUCAUAGUGUUACAUUUUGUAUUUGGUCUAGAUUAUAGGCAUUAAGCCCUUACACUGGUACAACUAGGAAAAUUGGCUGAAGAAAACCAUGAUUUUCAGGUUUCACUGUUGCUAUUAAUUCAUGAGGAAUAAGUGAUGUAGGUCUGUAUGUAAGAUUUCUGACAGUCUGUCUUUCUUCUACUUUCAGAUUUGAGAUUACAUCUACGGAAGAAGAUUGUAAUUUAACUCACAUUUUUAAAAGAGAAUUGAGUUUUAGAUACCUUUCUUGCUCUGCAUCUUGCUGUCUAUCCAGAGGUGAAGUUUUGAGAGCCCCUAAUGGCACUUGUGAAAAGAUGCGACUCAGAACCAGUUUUUCCUCUAAGAUAUCACCCACCUCUACAAGGGACUGCCUGACCUUUGGAAAAUUUGACUGUACAAAAACAAGAUGAAAAGAACAGUUUGAGGAGCUAUGACACAAGGACAAAAAUAGAGGAACAAAGAUCAUAAAUAUGGGGCCAAUCGGGCCAUAACAAACACAUGCCUCUGGGGAAAAACCAAACCAACUCACCCACCCUUAAGUAUUCCACACCCUGGGGCCAACCAAAGCAAAGUCUUGAUCUGUCAACCUAAAACAUGGCAACUGGAUUCUUCAAAGAUGUGUGAAAUCUCAACAUAGGUACCUGUCAAGUUCCUCCAGGAGGCCUCAAAUAUAUAAAGGAAAGUGCCAAUUUGAUAUAUUAGGUUUAAAAUGUAUGCAGGAUGGGUCUAAUGCGAUCCUGGCUGCUCAUACCAGUGAGCAUAUACAUGGCUGCACUCUGAACACACUGCAAGUGACAAAUUCAUUCGGAAAGAGCAUUUCCCAACAGCAGGACGGACUGCACACUGCAGCUGGAUUCUUGACAGCAAAGAAGCUGAAAUGUCAAGCUGAUGUUUUUCAUUGUUUUUCUCUCCCCCUACCACCUGUUCCCUCUUGGAUGGGUUUACGCAAGACGUUGUACUCAG